UGAAGAACAAGGGAAGUGAGAACUGAUGCCUUGUGUUGCGGUGAAAAUAUCCCGAAUCUUGGACGGAGAGACCUGAGUUCAAUUCGCAGCUGGUGCAGCAACAAAAGCCACGAAGCAGUGCGCAUGCUCCACCCAACAACGGUACCAGGAUAAUUGAUGUCAGCGGCGGACCAAUGGAAGGACAGGGGCGGGGCUGGAGGACCUGCGGGGCUGUUGGCCCUCCGACCAAUCAGUGAAUGAGAGGCGGGACCUGAUUAUACCACGUGAUCGUCCUCGCGGACAGCGCGGCUGUGCGGGUGGAGAGCUGUCGGAUAUUAAAUCAGAAUAAUUGAGGCUAGGAACUCAAAAGCAAGUUUUUACAGUCAAUGGAGUCAUCGGGAUCUGAAUAUCAUUUGCAUUUGACUGUGGACGGAGAAAGGAUGAGGCUGUCACUGGCUCGGCCAGCAUUUAUUGCUGCGUUUACCCAGUGGGCAGUUAAGAAUCAACCACGUUGCUAUAGUUCUGGAGUCCCAUGCAGACCAGACCAGAUCCCAGUGAUCAGUGCCAAAGCCCCAUUGCCUGUGGAGAGGGUGAUGUUUGAUUUCCCUGUCCAGCUGCAGUUCAUGUGGUGAAGGUGCUCCCACAAUGUGGUUGGGGUGCUCAAUGGUGAAGAUUCACAGACUGAAAUCUCAAACUCAUGUGCAGAUUGUGAUUAAGUUACCCAGCAUUUGAAGAACCAAAGAUGGAGAAUAACUCGGCCAAAAUCCAGCAACACUCUCCUUCCCAGCAUUGUCUGUCUCUCUGCGCCAAAUGGACUGUGAAUGGUUCAAGACAGCAGCUCACUACCAUCUUCUCAAGGGUAACUAGAGAUGGGGAAUAAAUGCUGGCUGAGCCAGUGAUGCCCAUAUCCUGGAAAUGGUUUCUAUCUCUAGUUGCUGAACCCCAGUUGAUGUUACUGCAGGAUGAUGAGGGAUGCUGAGUGCAUCCUCCAGGAGGCAACACCAUCACAUUACCCCUGCCUACACCCACACAGUAACA
Molecule: long non-coding RNA, 1017 nt
Organism: Hemiscyllium ocellatum (epaulette shark)
Lineage: Eukaryota; Metazoa; Chordata; Chondrichthyes; Orectolobiformes; Hemiscylliidae
Exons: 6
Source: RefSeq, a predicted model, not a curated record